CUUCACCCGCACCGGGGCCUUCACCCACACUGGGGCCUUCACCUGCACCAGGGCCUUCACUCUAAAGAGUUUGAGCAUAUGUGCAACCAAACCUAUCAUGUAUUGUAAUUUGUAACUGAUACGUUAGCAAAGUAAAACCAGGUCUUAAAGUGUAACAAUAAUCAAUACUAGGUAAAACCAAGUCUUAAAGCAUAACAGUAAACAAUGAUAUUACUUAUGAGAUGAUAGCCUAUACAAAUUCUGAUAUAAAUCCACUUAUUAUAUGAUGUUCUAUGUGUUUAUCAAUACAAAGAUUACGAUUCUACUGAGAGAAAAAUUAAUUGAAUUCAAUAUUAAUACAAAUAAUGCAAAGAUCAAACACUAUUUCUAUAAUUAAGCAUAACACGAAUAGUUCUUUUAUAAAAAAUGUAGUGGUUGGUUGCUCUCAGAUAAAGGCCAAUUUUUUCCACAUGAGAAAACUUGAGAUAGGUAAGGCCCCUUCCAUUGAAGUGAAAAAUCUGCUUCAAGAGCUUGACCAAACCUUCUCUCGAUCCCUAAAAGAAGAGGAAAAGAGAACUCUUCAAUUAGAAAAAGAAAUCAUUAGGCAAAAUCAAGCACAAAAAGCUUAUUUACUACUUCAAUGAAAGGCACCACAAGCCCCAUCCAGCUUCUAUUCGGUGUGGUUAAAGCAAAAUAAUCAUCAUCGAGCAUACCCACAAAGAUUCAAACACACAUAAAAUUCAGAUAGACAUAAAAAAUUCGCUUGCAACUGAACUCAAUUAAAAGAUCCAAACAGAGAUUCUAAGGAAUAAUAAUCAAAAGCAAGAAGGCUAAAACAAAUUUAAAAUAACAAACUUAAAAACGAACUAAAAAAUUAGAACGCAGUAUAUUCCUGAAUUUUAAGGAAUAUUGAUGAAAACCUAAUUGUGGAGCCUACGAGAAAAAGCAAGAAUCCAGUGACAAAUGGGACUAUGCCAGUCCAGAGGAACCGAUUUAAUAUUGCAUCUUUUCGUAUUCACUAUACUAUGGUUGGAGUAAUAGAGAAUCAUAAUGGAUGCAUAAUUUGAUAAAGCAGAUAGAUUCAGAAAUUGAAAAGGAUAGAAAUUCUAGAUCAGAAAAAUGGUUGGAUCUGCGAAACUGGUGAAGGCAAGAGCUAUAAAUUGCUUAUUUAUAUAUCUCUGAUUGGGCUAGGGUUUUGUGUUUCAUUGUGAAGUUACCGAUUUACGCGGUUAAAUAGAAAAUAUUCCGGGAAUUUGUUAGGGUGAGUCAUCAUAUAUAAUAUCCAAAUCCAAGUAUUUGAAAUUAAGGUGUCAAAUCAUCAUCUCAGAAAAAAAGAAAGAAAAAAAAAAGAGAGAUGACAAAUCAUAGUUUAUUUGAAAAUAAUGAUGAAGGUUGUUUAGGUAAUU
Molecule: long non-coding RNA, 1385 nt
Filed under: Lupinus angustifolius (narrow-leaved blue lupine)
Lineage: Eukaryota; Viridiplantae; Streptophyta; Magnoliopsida; Fabales; Fabaceae
Description: long non-coding RNA (LANG_LNC001750)
Source: RNAcentral